Schistosoma curassoni is the source of this 45-nucleotide non-coding RNA. Lineage: Eukaryota; Metazoa; Platyhelminthes; Trematoda; Strigeidida; Schistosomatidae. The record is from Rfam.
AUCAAGCUGAUGAGUCCCAAAUAGAACAAAACGUGCGUCCUGGAU